This 1561-nucleotide long non-coding RNA is filed under the name Schizosaccharomyces pombe (fission yeast). Lineage: Eukaryota; Fungi; Ascomycota; Schizosaccharomycetes; Schizosaccharomycetales; Schizosaccharomycetaceae. The record is from RNAcentral.
UACUUGUUUAUAGCUACCCGCAUUACCAGGAAUGAAAAGGAUAGGAAUACCUGAUGGUUCGUCACUUUCCUCUACGCUUUUUUCUCUAUAAAGGUAGAGCGAAUAUUUAUUUGCGAAACGAGUGUAACGUUCAUCAAAAUCAACAAAACGAACAUAAGAAGGCCAAACAUAGGACUUUCCGCAACCAUUGUCCUGUGGACGACCUUGAAAAGAAUGUAGAAUAACUAAUAAUAAAAGAAUGGCGAUGAUUGCAACAUAAAGAGACCAGCUUCGUAUAGCCUUAACUAUAACAUUCCCCUUUGAGAUUUUAAUUUCCUUUUCUAUGGAAAUAGAGCUAGGUGUUGAAGAACCAGAGCUAGUAACGCUAGGAAUAUCAUUUUGCUCUAAAUUAGGUUUCUCAUCGUUUGAGGCUGUGUUGGCAUUAUUGCGUUUAUAAAAGCCGCUUGAAAGCUUUGAAUUGGAGAUAUAGUAGCCAUUCACAGUAUCUGACCUUCCCUUAUCGUCUUUCAUAGUUUUAAAAAACCGAGACGAAGAAGACGAUAUACGGGUUGAGCCUUGAUACAAAUCCAGGGCCGCUAAUGAAAGUUAAAGACAAAUAAAAGGGAAAUAAUAAUUCAAAAGGCAAGUAAAACCUGUUAAUAUUUAAGACUCAGUUGUUUAGAUGAAGUGCAAAUUAGGUAUCAACUGAAAAAGAAAUUUCCAGUUUGCAAAAAAUUAGACAGGUUACAACAACAGAAAAAAAAAACAUAUAAUAAAAAUCCUCGUAAUUUAGGACAUAAGUAGGAAUUUCACAGUAUUUCCCAAACACUGUUAUAUCUAAGUCCUUUAAUCAAUUUGUUGCCUCAAAUGAAGAAUCCAGCUCCAAAAUCGAGGACUGUGUCAAAGAAAUCAAUUAUUAGAAAUGAAAAGUAGAUCCUAAAGACUUGAAGGGAAAAAGGGACAGUAAGGAAAUUCACUGUUUGUCUACUAACAAUAUAAACCUAAGAAAUCAAUGAAAGAAAUUCAUGCAACAGAAACAAAGGUUUUGUUAGAAAGUUUUUAAGUAGUAUUAUUUCAGCCACAAUAUGGAAUUUAUAAAUUUUCGUUUAAUUUUUUGAUUAUGGUUGGUUCGCACUAGACGUAAGGGCUGAGCUUGAAUAGCCUCAACUUCGCCUUACUGAGCUGCCUGAAUAUCAACGUACAAAUGUGGCAGCUUAGCAAGGAUAACAGUUUACACUAACAUUUUUUAUUUUCUUCAUAACCAUUUGCUUUGUUUUAUAUUCGAAAUAAAUUAUUGAUAAUAAGGAUGUAACAAAACUUCAUACAUUAAAAAUUGGUGUUCAUUUCAACCUUAAUGUUUGAAACAAACGUUAAAUUGAUAUCGAAAAGCACGUAAGCGUUUUUGCAAUGUUUAAACAUAUUUGAUUGUAAACAGGCUUAAGAAAUAGCACAUUUUUUCCAAUCAUUCACAAGCAGUAGAUCCUAAUACUUAAUGAAUUGAACAUUUUUGAAUAAUAAUCUAGGAAAGAAUCGCAAACGCAAAGCAAUUAUAAACUCAAACAGAACUAAUUAUGGGUAGAAU